AGAAAAGCUCCUUAAAAUCAAAUCAGAUUUUUUCCUCCUCCUCUCGUCUCCGGCAGCAGCCCAACCCAGCUCUUGCCCAAAUCUUAUCCAUUUUAUUUGAUUCUACUCAUCUCUCAGCAACACUCAUUCGUGUGAAUCGAAAUUGCCGAUCUACAAGACGAACGGACAUUACGAAGCACGGCCACAGUGACUUUGAAUAUUUUCUUUCUGCCUCUCAUAGUCUCACUCUCGUCACCCUAAGCCCUCGACAAGAUGAAGCCGAUGCUGCCUUUAGUCUUCCUUCCAUCGACACCAUCAGCAGCCGGUAGCGCAAGCAGCAAUGAUUCAUUUUUGGAAGAAGAAGAAAUGUAAACUAGAACAAUGGAACCGUGAACAAGUGAAGCUAGAAGUCCUCUCAUUGAACUUUUCUGUUUAUUUGUUAUUUGAUUUGAUUUGAGCCUAAAAUCAAGAUGAGUCAAUUUUGUGAUUCUUAUGAAAUUCAUUUGUUGAUUUGCAGGUAGAAGAACUGAGUCUUAGAAGCUAUCGGAGCGACGGAGCCUCAGGCCUGGAAUUAAUACCUAAUUGGACAGUGCUCCUCACCACACCCCCCCCCCUCCCCGGCCUGGAGUUUGUAAUCAUUUUGAUUUAUCUUUAAUUGAUUUUAAAACCCUUCUAGAUUAAGUGCUUAUUUCUUUAUGACUUUUGAGUUUUAAGCCAUUUGUUUGGUGAUUAGGUGUUAAUGAAUUAAUUUAUAAGUUUCCCCUUUUC
This 747-nucleotide long non-coding RNA is filed under the name Olea europaea subsp. europaea. The record is from RNAcentral. Lineage: Eukaryota; Viridiplantae; Streptophyta; Magnoliopsida; Lamiales; Oleaceae.